CAUUUUCCUUCUAGCGCAGACAUACAGUGUCAAAAACUUUAUGGUCCUGGUUGCAAAUGUAUUCGCACAUAUUAUUGUCCACCACCGCCAUUUGAUAAACUUUGGAUCCAAGCAUCACAAGAAUGAGUAUCAAAAGUGUGUGUUGGAAUAAUAAAACGUUGAUAAGGAUUGAUUAUAUCUUACUAUCAUGUAAUAUCAAAGUUUAUAAAGUCAUGUUAAAUAAAACUUAAGAUUUAAACAUUUUCCAUAAUCAUGAUCUUAUAUACAUAAGAUUACAUAUUAUCAUAGUUUAGAUGAUAUGUGAUGGUACGCAGUCUAAUUCAAAUUGAGACAGAGGCAAGUUCUUCCCUUUUGAAUCAGGUAGAUUUAUGUUGAAUUUGAGAAAUAUUUACUAUUCGAAAAGAGUAAAAACACAUUCCUUAUCUAAGAUUCAAAUUAAUUUCUCAACAAAAUAAACUUUUUUUUAUCAAACCUCUCUUUUUUUCUCAUAUUUUAAUAUUGGAUUUUCCUAUAUAGUAAAAUAUUUGAACUCAUAUUAUCACAAAUAUUAAAAUAUGUAAAUAUAUAUAAGCUUAAGAAAAUGAUGAAUAAUUUUUUUACGUUAAACAUUUUAUAAUCUUUCUUAUUGUAUUGUUUUUCUGCAGUCUAAUUCAAAUUGAGACAUAGGCAAGUUCUUCCCUUUUAAAUAAGGUAGAUUGACGUUGAAUUUGACAAAUAUUUACUAUUCGAAAAGAGUAAAAACACAUUCCUUAUCUAAGAUUCAAAUUAAUUUCUCAACAAAAUAAACUUUUUUUUAUCAAACCUCUCUUUUUUUCUCAUAUUUUAAUAUUGGAUUUUCCUAUAUAGUAAAAUAUUUGAACUCAUAUUAUCACAAAUAUCAAAAUAUGUAAAUAUAUAUAAGCUUAUGAAAAUGAUGAAUAAAAUUUUUACGUUAAACAUUUUAUAAUCUUUCUUAUUGUAUUAUUUUUCAUUUUAUUUAAUAAAAAGUUAUUACUAUAGAUAUGAGUAAGUAACAUGAGUAAGUAACACAUUAUAUCUCUGUGAAAAAUGUCAAUCUCAAAAGUAAUUAAAAAACGUUUUUGACUACAAAUAAUAAUUUCCAUUGACCAUACCAAACAUAAUAUACAUGGUUAAUAAUUGACAUGUAAAAUCAAUUGAAAUUAAAAUUAAAAUGUGCAACUUAAUACUAAGAUGUAAGUAAAUAUAUUGAAAUUAUUACUUUUUUUAAUUAUUAAAAAGAAACCAAAAUAGGUUCACAAAAAUUAAAAUUGCCUCCAAAACUAGCUUCCAACAUAUUGUUGUUGUGCAAGCCAAGAAGGUACUACUAUCGGGAUAUUAUGCAGCUAUAUGUCAAAUACGAAAGUAAACUAUUUUUUAUCUCCCUAAAGUUGUCUGACUUGGCCUAACUCCGGGUCCUGAAUAAUAAUAUCGAUACAGCUAGAGGUGUCAAAAUGGGCGUGGCCAAUCCAGCCAGCCCACCAAAAACCCACAAAUUUAUAGGAUUUGAGUAUCAUUUUAGGUACUUUUUAUUAAAUCCGGGCUUUUUAGCCCGAACUGGUCGGACUAUAUCAAAACCGAGCUCGGGUUGGUCUUACUCGGACGGGUUUGGACUACUCGCUUUCCCUUAUUUUUUAUUAUUUUCGGGACCUUUGGCUUGGUAUUAAGCCUUAUGUAAAAAUUAUAUUAUAAAAUAACUUAUAAUAAAAAAUAUAUAAUAAACUAGUAAGUUAACCGUACAUUCGUACGGUGCCGUUCACUCGUACGCAUGCUUAAGAUCAAUAAUGUCUAAAAUAAAUUUAAAAAACAUAUAUGUAUCGAUUAAAGUAUAUAAGAAGAUAUGCAUUAAUAGAUUGGUAUAUUUGAAACAAAGAUAUCAUCAUAUAUAUCAAAAGUGGAGUUGAUAUAACAAAAGAUGAUUGAAAUGACAUGUGUUAAGAUAAAUAUUGUGUGAUGAACUUUGAAUAGAAAAUAGAGUGAUGUCUAUAAUAUAAAUAUUUAUAAAUUACAAUAAUGUUUUAAAGUUAAGUAUUAUAUUAUUUUUCCUAUAUUCCAAAUAUCUUUUGUAAGCACAAUAACAAAAUAGUAUAUCAAAUCAAUUGAGAAGAUAUUAAACCAUGUAGAUUCUACUUUUAAUUUCUUAAUUGUGUAUUUAAUUAGAUUUAAAUUCUACAACAAAAAUAUAAUAAAGAAAAUAGUUUUUUUACAACUAAACUAAAAGAGAACAUAAUUUUUUACCAUAGAGAACUCCACACCAGGAAAUUCAACAUAAUAGUUCACAAUAAAAGUAUUGAUAAAUAGCAUACAAAAGAUCAUCAUAUAGAAAUUAAAGAAUAACGAUCAUAUAUUACGAUGGUUAUUAUACUUUGACAUAUAAAGUUCAUUCUAAACUUGUGUCUAUAUUACAGUACUAUAAACCGAAACGAUAAUAUUUUGAUAGUAUCCAAAUAUAUACAUAUUAAAGUGAAGCUAAAAAUUAUAUUGUGUUAGGGUGUUAGAGUCCAAUAGAAAUAAGAUAUUUAGUAUGUGUUAUGUUAAAAAUCAUAUAUGUGGACUUGACAUCACGCCUAAACUCAAACACAAGACAUUAGAUUAAGUUUGAUUGCAUUGGGCAUAAUUAUAUAUAUAUAUAUAUAUAUAUAUAUAUAUAUAUUAAAUAGAUUAAAUAUGUUAAAAUUUAAAUAAAUAAUUUUUAGUAUUAUCCGGGCCCGAACGCCACAACCCGCAACCUGCUUAGGGAAGGUUUCGGCUACAAUUUGAUAUGGAUAAAUUGUAUCCGAGCUUUUUAGCCUGAACCUGAUGUGAGCUAGGUCGAACCCGUUCGGGUAGUCUGUUUUAACACCUACACAUACCGCAUAUGUUCUUUGGUCUUGAAAGGAUGGAUCCGGAUUGUGGUAACUCGAUCAGAAUCAUCUAGUAUAGCCUGAGAAGUGCUUGAACCCAUUGGGGUAAGCACGCGGAAAGGUUCUCGUACGAUCAAGCCAAUAUGUGAGAGAUAUAUAGAAUAUCAAAGAAUAAUAAGUAAGAGAUAAAGUGAAAGAGUUAAUAAGUAUGUGUAUAUCAUGUGACUUCCAUUAUAGAUGAGGUUGGUUUGAUCGAUCAAAUGGUAUGUUGGGUCUAUCCUGGACAAAUGAAGAUUGCUUUUCCCAUGUCAGGUGGCUUUGGAAGAUCUAUAAUUGGUGGACAAUUGUCUUUUGCUCAUAUUCGCAUGUAUCACUAUGUCAUUAGUCUAUCUUGUCUGAUUUUGAGAGAUACAAUCACUACGCCAGAAUAGCAAAACUACAAUACUUAAAAUUGUCAUUUAACAACGUUUUUUAGACACUUUAUAUGUUAGUGCAAUAGUACAUAAGGUUAUACGUAACAUUGUUUUUUGAAGCGUUGUAGAAAGUAGACAUUUUGCAGCGCUCACUGAAGCAAGCGUUGUUAAAUGUCUACUUUCUAAAUAAGACAAUAUAUCUUCCAAACAUUCUAUCCAAUACAUGACAAGCAUGUCCAACUCCACAACAUCUACAAUAGAUUUAUUAAAUCACCAACGACAUCAGCUACAUUCAACCUUAUCAGAUUCCAAUAUUGUAAAAUAAUAUAUGAGUAAUGAGAUCUUACGCAAAUUGUUCAUUCUUUCUCCUCCAAUGUGCAAGUCCUUACUAAGUGUUCCUCAAUGAUUAUUAUAAGAUGCAAAUACAAAUAAAAAAUGGCAUCUCUAAACAAAUUGCAAAAGUUAUAAAAAAUAAAAAAUUACCAGCAAUUGAGAAAUAAAAUUUACCUUUACACUCAAACUAUGUGUUCUAAACUAGUGAACUACAACAAAAAGCCUAGAAGACCAUAGUUGCAUAACUUUACAACAACUAAAGAUCACACUGUUAGGGAAAUGUUUCCACCAAAUUGAUCAUAAAUAAAUUAAUUAUUUAAAAAUAUAACUAUUCAAAUGCAUCAAAGACUUCUUAUUUAUGGUGUAUAUGCAAGCAUCAAGACUGAAUCAAAAAGAAAUAAAUGAGGUAAAAUAAGAUAACGAUUUACCUUAGGCUGGAAGAGAAAAACAAAAAACUGAUAACUUGCUUGAAGAGAGAAACUGAAAACAAAAGAGGAAAAAAUGUAACUCAUGGAGAAGAAGAAAAGUAAGAGAAAUAAUAAAUUGAAUGAUUGAUAAGUGCCAAAAGUAUACNNNNNNNNNNNNNNNNNNNNNNNNNNNNNNNNNNNNNNNNNNNNNNNNNNNNNNNNNNNNNNNNNNNNNNNNNNNNNNNNNNNNNNNNNNNNNNNNNNNNAACCUAUGUUAAGGUAGGCAAGGCAACUUGCAAAAAUCAAAUGCUUACCUUAACUUAAAGAAAACAGCCCAAAAGUGCCAAGCAACCAACAAAAAUAAAGUAACAAACCAAAGGAAAACAGGUUGCUUCACCAUGAAGAAAUCAAGCACAAAGUUGUCCAGCCAAGCCAAGCACCAAGCACCAAGCACCAGGCCAGGUCAGUCGGCACCAAGCACCAAGCCAGGUCAGCCAGGCACCAAGCAUCAGGCUAGGUCAGCCAGGCACCAAGCAUCAGGCCAGGUCAGCCAAGCACCAAGCACCAGGCCAAGUCAGGCAAGCACCAAGCACCAAGCCUGGUCAGCCAACACCAAGCACCAGGCCAGGUCAGCUAAGCUGCUGAAAUAGGCAACUGAGCAAGGAACCAGUCAGCUGAGCGGCUGAAACAUGCAGCUGAGCAGGGAACCAGGUCAGCCAAGCUGCUGAAAAAGGUAGCUUAGCGGGGAAACAAGUGGGCUAAGCGGCUGGCGCACCAGAAAAGUGAUUUUUUGGUCAAAUCAUGGAACAUCUUACUUUUUCUUUGCUUAAAGGCCAAGAACAUGACCUCAUGGAUGACAUAAGGCUAUGACAAGAAGGGAGGAGGUGUCACCAUGCAUGUAACCUAGCCCACCAAGGUGAGCAACUUAGAAUAAGAAGUAGGGGCCAAAGGUGAGCAACUUAGAUGGCAAACAAGGCAGUUGAGCAUCCAACACUUUGGCCUAUAAAGAGGCACGACAUUAUCAUUUUUAAAACAUUGUAAAUUUAUUCUAAAUACUCAAACAAUCCUCAGCAGUACUCACACAAUAAGUCGAGGGAGAAUCCACCUAAAUACUCUAACGGUAACAAACUCCAUUUUGGAAGAAGAUGUCCGAGUAAGGAUGAUGUGUGCUUCAAUUGUGGUCAGUCUGGACACUUCCGUUAUGAAUGUCCUGGAAAUUCCAAAGGCCAAAAAAAUCAGUUGCCAAUAAGACCACCAGCGGAGAAACCAACCAAACGUGGGAAAGUUUUUGCUUUGAGUGGAGCCGAAAUAGCAAAGUCGCCUGAUCUCAUCCAAGGUAAGUGUCUGAUUAAUGGAAGUCCUUCUAUGGUUUUGUACGAUUCAUGAGCCACCCAUUCUUUUAUAUCAUAUAAUUGUGUGCUACGAGUAGGAUUAAAAGCCACUAUUAUGCCAUAUGAAAUAGCCAUAGAAUCUCCUAUGAAGUCUUUAGUGAUGACGUCCGACACAUGUUUGCAAUGCCCAGUGGUGAUUCAGGGAAGAACCUUUAUGGUGGACCUGAUUUGCCUUCCCUUGUCACAAUUGGAUGUGAUUUUAGGAAUGGACUGGAUGUUGGAAAAUGGUGUCUCUUUGAAUUGUAGGCAUAAAACCAUAGAAUUUUUAGAAAUCCUGGGAGAAUGUUCAGAUAAAGAAGAUCGUCAGUCUAUGUCUGCUAAGGAAUUCUUAGCAAGAAUUCGAGUAGGAACCCAACUGCUUGUCUUUUUAUCAUCUUUGGAGACUGAAAAGGGGAUGGGAACUCGAGGAAUUCUAGUAGUAGAAGAAUUUCCAGAGGUAUUUCCUGAAGAUAUUCCAGGUUUACCACCCGAAAGAGAAGUGGAAUUAUCAAUAGACUUAAUCCAUGGAACAAGACCAAUCUUUAUGGCUCCUUACAUAAUGGCCUCUUUAGAACUGUUAGAACUCAAGAAACAAUUAGAAGAUAUGAUUAGUAAGCGAUUCAUCAGAUCCAGUGUGUCACCAUGGGGUGCUCCAGUAUUAUUUGUGAAGAAAACGGAUGGGAGCAUGAGACUGUGUAUAGACUACCAACAGCUUAACAAAGUAACCAUUAAGAAUAAGUACCCACUUCCUCAGAUUGAUGAUUUGAUGGAUUAGUUAAGAGGAGCUUCAAUAUUUUCUAAGAUUGACUUAAGGUCGGGAUAUCACCAAAUUCCAGUUAAGAAGGAAGAUGUGCUGAAAACAGCUUUUUGUACUCGAUAUGGACAUUAUGAGUAUUUAGUAAUGCCCUUCGGAGUUACGAAUGCUCCUACAGUGUUCAUGGACUAUAUGAACAGGACUUUUCGGCCGUUCUUCGAUAGCUUCUUGUCGUGUUUAUCGAUGACAUCUUGAUAUACUCUAAGACCAAGGAAGAUCAUGUCGAACACUUGACAACUAUGUUGAAGAUGUUGAAAGAGAGACAACUAUAUGCUAAACUUUCAAAGUGUGAAUUCUGGUUAGAAGAAGUACAAUUUCUUGGUCAUGUGAUUACUUUCGAUGGAAUUGUUGUUGAUCCAGCAAAAGUGGAAGCAGUUUUGCAAUUGGAAAGACCUCAAACAGUCACUAAAAUCAGGAGUUUUCUUGGGUUAGUUGGAUACUAUUGAAAAUUUAUAGAAGUUUUUUUAAGAUUGUGUUGCCUUUGACCAAGUUGACCCGAAAGAGUCAAGCUUUCGAAUGGACGACCCAGUAUGAAAAUAGUUUCCAAGAGUUGAAGCGAAGAUUGACUUCUUCUCUAGUGUUAAUUCUUCCAUAUCCGAACGGUACUUUUGAGGUAAAUUGUGAUGCUUCUAAACAAGGUUUGGGGUGCGUACGGAUGUAGAAUAGAAAGGUAGUAGCUUACGCAUCUCGACAGCUGAGACCUCAAGAAGAGAACUAUCCUACACAUGAUUUAAAGUUGGUUGCAGUUGUUUUCGUUUUAAAAAUUUGGAGACACCAUCUGUAUGGAUCCAAGUUUGAAGUAUUCAGCGACCACAAGAGUUUGAAAUACUUGUUUGAUCAAAAAGAGGUGAAUAUGAGACAACGCCGAUGGGUUGAAUUUAUGAAGGAUUAUGAUUUUGAAUUACAAUAUUACCCAGGAAAAGCAAAUAUGGUGGCAGAUGCUCUAAGUCGAAAAUCCCUCCAUUUGUCAGCCAUGAUGGUAAGGGAGUUGAAGCUAUUAGAAAACUUUAGAGAUAUGAAUCUAGUUCACUACUUCAAGGAAGGUAAAAUGGUUUUGGGAUUAAUGAGAAUCACCACCGAAUUUCUGGACCAGAUAAGGGAAUUACAGAAGACAGGCCGAGAAAUUCAAAUUCAAAAAUCACUCAUAUGGAACAAGGCAAAACUUAGAGAUUCAACAAGGAAAAGACGGAAUUAUUAGAUUCCAAGGGAGAAUUUGUAUUCCACAUAAUGAAGAACUAAGACAGAUGAUUUUAGAAGAAGCUCAAAAGAGUAAGUUGAAUUUUCACUUGGGAACUACCAAGAUGUACCGAGAUCUGAAGAAGAUGUUCUGGUGGCGAGGACUGAAAAGGAAUGUGGCAGAGUAUGUAAUGGCAUGUUUGACAUGUCAGAAGGCAAAAGUUGAACAUCAAAGACCCGGAGGAGAGUUGCAACCCUUAAGCAUCCCUGAGUGGAAAUGGGAUAGUGUUGAAACGUGGUGUAUCGAGUUUUAUUUCUAUUUUAGUUGGGAGUAUUCUCCUCUCAACAAAUCGUCCUGACAGUAGUGUCAAUUUGUUGAAAGAUUAAUAUUCUCAUUUUCGUUAUGUUCCUUUUGUAAGUAAGAGAACUCGGUUUUAUUCUUUGUUCGCCAUCUCGGCUUUGUUGAAAUGAAUUCCAACACCAGUAUAAUGGUUUCAAGAAUAUUCCAGUUACAACUUACUUUCUUAAUAAUCAUUUGAAUAAGUCAUUCCUUAUUUGCCCCAUCUCGGCUUUUUUAUAAUAAAUUCUAACGCCGGUAUAAUGGUAUCGAAGCAAUUACCUAUUACAUAAUUAUUAAGUACCUUUGAAUACCAUCUCGGUUUUGUGGAAUAAAUUCCAACACCGGUUUAAUAAUAUUCUAAUAUAUAAAAGUGAUGAAUAGUUAGUUGUUAGAUACAAAUAAAUAAAUAAAGAACAAAAGAAUAAUAAAUUUAGUGACCUUUUAUUUAUUUACUCCCUUUUGGGUUCAUUUUAUUAACAAACCAAACUUCUUCCUUAAGGAAGGUUGGUAUUAAAGAAUAAAAUGCGGAAAGUAAAUAACAAUAAAUAAAAGUUAGUAAGUUAGUUUCAUCACUUUUGUAUAUUAAAAGGUGUUUUCAAUAAAUAAAUUUAUUGAUAACACUUUACUAUUUUACAAUUUACACCUCUUUCAAGAUUCAAUUGUAGUAUAGUAUAGGGUUAUGUCGAACCACAAGGAAUUUCCUAGUAAAAUAAAUCAAGUAAACAUGUCAAAGCACAAAUAAUGGUUUAAACAUAUUUUGGUUGGUUUGAAUGUGAAUAUGAACAAGUACACAUAAUAAACAUACAACUAAACAUUAACAAAUUCUUGAGGAGACAAAUUCUUUUUGAAUAAGGAAAAUAUAUUUCUCAUCUUCUUUUUGAGUUUGAACUACUUAGACAAGUUCUUAUGUUUUACUUUGGUUAACCCCAAACACCAAGUUUUGAAAUCCUCCUUUUAGUGUAUGUCCUAAAAUCGUAGAAUCAUAAACACUUAUAUUCAUCACUUAAACAAUACUACGACCAUAAAAGAGAUUAGGUUGUCACACCCUAACCAUUGGUGACUCUAAUAUUGAAUGAGUGAUGAAUGUAAGAUCUUAAGAAAAACAUGCUUAACUUGGCAAAUAAACUAAGUAGUACAACUACUCCAUAUUUAUUUGUUAAGUAUUUGAGACAAGUAUUUUUGACUUGAAAUCAUUUUUUAGGUGAUCAAUCUAAAAAAACAUUAAGAACUUCUCUAAGAAAUAAUAUUAACCAAAGCACCAACUUGAAUGAUGAAAAUUCAAACUUUUGUAAAUUUAAGAAGCAGUAGAAAAUUACAUAAACUUUGUCCAAAGAAAAUGUUUAGGAGCAUGAGCUAUCCAUCCAAGGAUUGGAUGCUUUUGAGUUCCAAAUGAGACUACAAAAUUGAAUUUUGCAUCUCAUUUUCCUUCUCCUUUUCUCCUCUUGAAUUCUAAACUACAAAUUACAAAACUUACUUGAAAAUGAAAACUCUAAGCUGAGAAAGAAUUCCAAAAAUGAGAGAAUUCUGCCUUCAAGUGUUUUUGAGAGAAUUUAGUGAAGAAAUGCUCGAAUACAGUCUUUUUUGCUCGAAUGAAAUGGCCUCUAUUUAUAUGCCUCACAUCUUGACUACUGAGCUGCUGAGCUAGACCGCUCAACAGCUGACCAAACCCUUCAGCAUGGUUUUGGUCUCUUGACCAACUAGCUUAGUCACCUCCUUGUGCAUGACUCACCAAAGCUAGUUGUGGCCUACGAGACCAGCUAUUGUGAGCUACUUAUGAAAAGCCUAUGGUGGGCUACUUGAGGUGAGGUCAUGGAUGACUUCAUGGUGUGCUUGAUGGUUAAGUCAAGUCUGGUAAGUACCGUGCUUGCUUCACCGCCGAGCUGCUUGUUCAGCAGCUUCUGACCGUGUUGACUGGGACGUGUUUUGGUGCUUGCUGAUCUGGCUAGGAGUCCGGUUCUCCGCUGAGCAGCUUGGUUUGACCACUGAGCAGCUUGUUUAGCAGCUUGGCUUGUGUCAAGCUCGUGUCUGACCGUGUCAAGCAUAUUUCUGACCGUGCCAGACCUAGUCUGGUGCUAGGCUGAGCGGCUAAGCAGGACCUCUCAGCUGCCUGGUUGAGCAGUUUGGUCCAAGUCAGGCAGGUCGCCAUGUCAGGCAGGUCAGCUCAACGGGGUUUGUUCCAGCUCAACUGCCUGGUUGAGCACCUUGGUUUUCUUGACUUUUGUUGCGUUUUGAUCAUGAAUCAUUUUUCUUCUUUUCUUCAUUUUCUUUCCUACAAAAUACAUAAAAAGGCAAUACAAACACAAAUAUACUAAAUUGUGACAUUUUAUACAAAAAGUAAUGUUUUAAGUUGGUUUUUCUCAAUUAGGCUUAAGAUAUGUGCCAUAAAAGAGUAUGAUUUUUAGGUAUGUUUGGCACUUAUCANNNNNNNNNNNNNNNNNNNNNNNNNNNNNNNNNNNNNNNNNNNNNNNNNNNNNNNNNNNNNNNNNNNNNNNNNNNNNNNNNNNNNNNNNNNNNNNNNNNNAACAAUUGACCUAAGCAAGUAUUUUUCUAACAAAAGUGUUUCUUUGCACACAAGUUCGAAAAUGGAACCAAAUGGGGUAAGUGUUUCACUCAAAACUCAACUUGUUUGAUUUGCAAGAAUUUAAUUUUGUUUUUCAUCUUUCCACUUACUUUGAUUGCACAAAUUUUUCAAGAAUCACUAAGGUCUUAUUUAGGUUGUAAUGAGGCUUGGCUAUCAAAGGAAAUUGGUUUUUCAUGAUAUUCAAAGAUACUUUCAAAAUUAAAAAAGAGCGAAAAUUAAUUUUUCAUUAAAAACAUAUACUCCUUUCAACUUUUUUCCAUUUUUCCUUCCCUCAUUCUUUCUUUUUUUUCUUGACCUUUUUGUGUACUCCUUUUUAAUUUUCUCAAUCUCUUUUCAUUCCUUUUGAUUUUGGAGCUUUUACUUUACUUUUUGAUUUGUAAAGAGAUUGAGAAUUUUUCUUUGAAAACUUUGGUACUUAGCCAACCAUUCCCUCCCAACUUAAUUUCGUCCAUCAACCUUCCUUUUGAAAAAUGCUCUCUUUUUACUUAGAAAAAUAUAGGAGAUUAUUUUUGUUUUUCCAGAUUAGGCUCAAGGGUUGAUUUUGAAAAUUAAAUUUUAUUUUAAGGCUCAAAGGGGUUAACAAAGGAUAUUCCUAUUUUUGGUUGGUCAUUUUUGGUGAAGUGUCUCAUUCUAAGUUGUGAUAUAGCAAAUUGUGAUGAAUAUAAGUGUUUAUCAUUCUACCAUACAAACACAAAUAUAUAAAAAGACAAUACAAACACAAAUAUACCAAAUUGUGAUAUUUUAUACAAAAGUAUUAUUUUAAGUUGGUUUUUCUCAAUUAUGCUUAAGAUAAGUGUAAUACAAAAAUAUUUGCAAAGAACUUGUUACAUAAAAUUGAUUUUCAAUUUGCAAAAUAUUUUAGUUAUGACAUUAUGAGACUUUUUCACAAAAGUUUAGCAUAUAUCUCAUUUUGCUCAAUCAAAGAUUAAUUUAAAGUAUGCUUAACAUUUUUAAUCAUGUCAUCAUGCUUUAAAAAAUUGUUUUAGCCAUUUUGUUUUUGGUUUUGAAAAGUUUUGAGUUUUUUGAACAAACAAAUUUUACUUUUUACAUAUUUACACAAUUUAGUAAAAAGAAGAAUUUUUUUAGAUUACAUCAAGUCUUGUCCCCCCUUUUUAAAUGAAGGGUUGUCCUCAAGCCUUAAAAAAAUUGGGGCUUUACUUGAUGUGAUUUAAAAUUUUUGUUGAAACUUAAACUAAAAAUAACAAAAUACAAAAAAUUAAAAUGACUAAUAAAAAAUAGAAAUUGAAAGAAAUAAAUUUUUACCAUAUACUGGAUUGCCUUCCAGUUAGCGCUCUUUUAACGUCAUUAGCUUGACGUCAGAUUUUGGACGAGAUUAUUCUGUUUGAUCAUCGAUGAUGGAGCCUGAUUCAUCACCCAAAUACGUUUUUAACCUCGGUCCAUUUUUAGGAGAACACAUAAUUUCAUUCUCCUUGUUUUCACUAUCCUCUCCUAGAUAGUGGUGUCAUCAACUUCUUAUUUUUGUUUGUUUGUUUGGACAUGUUUUCAUGUAAAUCAUUUCAAACUUGCAAUUUUCUUUUGCUUUGAGGUUAGUCUCACAACUCACAUGAAUUUAUAAUUUCCUAAGACACUAAGUUCAUGAAUUAAAUUUGAUUGAGAGAAUUCCAACCAAACAACAUGCUUNNNNNNNNNNNNNNNNNNNNNNNNNNNNNNNNNNNNNNNNNNNNNNNNNNNNNNNNNNNNNNNNNNNNNNNNNNNNNNNNNNNNNNNNNNNNNNNNNNNNAACUACUCCAAAGUUUAUUUGUUAAGUGUUUGAGACAAGUAUUUUUUACUUGAAAUAAUUUUUUAGGUGAUCAAUCUAGAAAGAGUAAAAUUCAAAUUACAAAACCAAAGCACCAACUUGAAUGAUUAAAAUUCAAAGUUUUGUAAAUUUAAGAAGAAGUAUAAAAUUACAUAACCUUGUUCAAAAGAAAAUGUUUAGGAGCAUGAGCUAUCCAUCCAAGGAUUGGAUGCUUUUGAGUUCCAAAUGAGAGUACAAAAUUGAUUUUUGCAUCUCAUUUGCCAUCUCCUUUUCUCCUCUUGAAUUCUAAACUACAAAUUAUCAUUAUCACAAAGUACAUGGUGAAUACUUAACCUUUAAGGAUUCAAGUGGCUUCCCUUCUUGAAGAAAAAUUCUAGCCACUAAUCCUUGUUUAAUUCAAUCCCGUUUAUGUUGCUCUUUUGAAAAAGUUGAUGAGGGGUACCUCCACAUCUCCUAAAAUUAAAUUUAGUGAAGAAAUGCUCGAAUACAAUCUUUUUUGCUCGAAUGAAAUGGACUCUAUUCAUAGGCCUCACAUCCUGACCGUUGAGCUGCUCAGCAGCUGCCCAAACCCUUCAGUAUGGGUUUGGUCCCUUGACCAAGUAGCUUAGUAUUCACUCCGCUAAUUCACUUUUUUUUUUUUAGUUUUUAAAUUUUUUUUUUCAAAUCUACAAAACAUAAAAAUAAAGAUGUACAAAAGGAAAAAUAAAUUUAUACAAAAGAGAAAGAAAAUGUUAGGGCUACUUGAAGUGAGGUCAUGGAUGACUUCAUGGUUUGCUUGAUGGUUAAGUCAAGUCUGGUAAGCACCGCCCAACGCACCUACUUCAUCGCUGAGCUGCUUGUUCAGCAGCUUCUGACCGUGUUGACUGGGACGUGGCUUGGUGCUUGCUGAUCUGGCCAUGAGUCUGGUUCUUCGCUGAGCAGCUUGGUUUGAUCGUUGAGCAGCUUGUUCAGCAGCUUGGCUUAUUUCUGAUCAUGUCAAGCAUAUAUAUUUCUGAUCGUGCCAGGUCUAGUCUGGUGCUAGACUGAGCGGUUAAGCAGGUCCACUCAACUGCCUGGUUGAGCAGUUUGGUCCAGGUCAGGCAGGUGGCCAGGUCUGGCAGGUUAGUUCAGCGGGGCUUGUUCCACGCUCAGCUGCCUGGUGACAAAUAAAGCUCCUUCUAAACUUGUGUCUAUAUUACCAUUACUAUAAACCGAAGCGAUAAUAUUUUGAUAGUAUGCAAAUGUAUAUAUAUUAAAGUGAAGUUACAAAUUAUAUUUUGUUAAGGAGUCAAAGUCCAAUAGAAAUGAGAAAUUUAGUAUGUGUUAUGUUAAAAAUCAUAUAUGUGGACUUGACAUCACGUCUUAACUCAAACACAAGACAUUAGAUUAAGUUUGAUUGCAUUGGGCAUAACAAGUGUGUUGGAAAAGUUAUACAUUAAUAUCAAAUGAUAUAUAUAUAUAUAUGUGUGUGUAUAUAUAUAUAUAUUAAAUAGAUUAAAUAUGUUAAAAUUUAGAUAAAUAUUUUUUAGUAUUAUCCGGCCCGCACGCCACAACCCGCAACCCGCUUAGGGAAGGUUUCGGAUACAAUUUGAUAUGGAUAAAUUGUAUCCGAGCUUAUUAGCCUGAACCUGAUGUGAGCUAGGUCGAACCCGUUCGGGUAGUCUAUUUUGACACCUCCACAUACCGCAUAUGUUUUUUGGUCUUGAAAGGAUGGAUCCGGAUUGUGGUAACUUGAUCAGAGUCAUCUAGUAUAGCCUCAUAAGUGCUUGAACCCAUUGGGGUAAGCACAUGGAAAGGUUCUCGUACGAUCAAGCCAAUAUGUGAGAGAUAUAUAGAAUAUCAAAGAAUAAUAAGUAAGAGAUAAAGUGAAAGAGUUAAUAAGUAUGUGUAUAUCAUGUGAGUUCCAUUAUAGAUGAGGUUGGUUUGAUCGAUAAAAUGGUAUGUUGGGUCUAUCUUGGACAAACGAAGAUUGCUUUUCCCAUGUCAGGUAGCUUUGGAAGAUCUAUACUUGGUGGACGGUUGUCUUUUGUUCAUAUUGGCAUGUAUCACUAUGUCAUUAGUCUAUCUUGUCUGAUUUUGAGAGAUACAAUCACUACGCCAGAAUAGAAAAACUACAACACUUAAAAUUUUCCUUUAACAACAUUUUUGAGACGCUUUCUAUGUGAGCGCAAUAGUACAUAAGGUUAUAUUUAACAUUAUUUUUUGAAGCGUUUUAGAAAGUAGACAUUUAGCAGCGCUCACUGAAGCAAGCGUUGUUAAAUAUCUACUUUCAAAAUAAGACAAUAUAUCUUCCAAAUAUUCUAUCCAAUACAUGAAAACCAUGUCCAACUCCACCACAUUUACAACAGAUUUAUUAAAUCUCCAACGACUUCAGCUACAUUCAACCUUGUCAGAUUCCAAUAUUAUAAAAUAAAAUAUGAGUAAUGAGAUCUUACGCAAAUUGUUCAUUCUUUCUCCUCCAAUGUGCAAGUCCUUACUGAGUGUUCAUGUGUUCCUCAAUGAUUAUUGCAAGCAGCAAAUACAAAUAAAAAAUGGCAUCUCUAAACAAAUUGCAAAAGCUGUAAAAAAUAAAAAAUUAGCAGCAAUUGAGAGCAAAAUGUUUCCACCAAAUUGAUCAUGAAUAAACUAAUUAUUUAAAAAUAUAAUGAUUCAAAUGCAUAAAAGACUUUUUAUUUAUGGUGUAUAUGCAAGCAUCAAGAUUGAAUCAAAAAGAAAUAAAUGAGGUAAAUUGUUCACUUGCUUCAAUAAGCAUUGUUAUUUCUCUUGUGCCUUACAUUUAUCAGCUAUCAACAUACAAGUGUUGUUGAAUGGGCGUUGAUAAAUAUCAAUUAUGGCAUAGUAAAUUGUUGUUGAGAGGAACAGUAGGGCAUAGGUAGCAUGCAACAUGUAACAAAGGUCUAGGCUAUUCAAUCAGAGGUGACAGUUUUAUGCAUGUGGCACAACAUAGGGGUAGUAGGGUGGGCCCCAUGUUGUCUUGUCAUUGAUAGAACACUUCUUUGUGUUGCUCGGUCUUUUUGGUCUCUAGCCUGAGAGGGCUUAUAUACUACCCUUCUUGUUUGGUUUAUGAGGUUGUCUGUCUACCUCGUUCGAUCAAGACGUUUCUUUUUGGUGUGAGAUGGAACAACAAAACUCAUUCUUGAGGUCCUUAAGAAUCAUGGUAUAGGUGAACUCUAUCUUCAAACCUUGCACCAAUGACAAGCUUUUCCUUCUGAUACCCUACUGAACCAGUACAUGAACAUGUUGGAAGAAUGAAGAAUGUUGAAAGAAACUAGAGAAAGAAAAUUUGCAGAGUGAAAUCGUGUGUAGAGACAAGAAGAAAAAGAGAAAGAAAAUACAGAUAGUGUAUAGAAGAGUAUAUCAGAGAGUAAAUUGUACAUACUAAAUAAUAUUUGUUGUAUAUUUCUCAAUGAUUCAACUAAGGACUAAAUUGUACAUACUAAAUAAUAUUUGUUGUCUAUUUACGAGCUCAAUGACCUCGUCCUCCUCCUCUUCUCCCUCCACUUCGUUAUGCCACAACCCAGCAGCAUAAUUUGGUGGAGAUGACAUUCUCAGACUCGGAGUCUUCUUGCACGGACCUCCUCCAAGAAAUCGGCUCCUCUGGACUCUGCUGGAUGACGGAGCAUCCAAACAAUCUGCCCACAUCCUACGACCGUGAGAGGGAACCGCGCCAUCACUCCUGACUGGCGGGUGUCGGAGUCCUACAUUUGGAGACAUCAGUCCCGUUGGCGGCAAUGUGAAAGAAGCGUCAAUGUAAGCGUCGGGUGGGGGAUCAUCAUCGAUGACCUGUUGCACUCCAUGUGCAACGACAGACCGCAGGGGCCUGUGUAAGUGUAUCGGUGCCCAUCACUGACCCAUUGUCCCGCUGGGGACAUCGUGAAGUGGUUGCCGUGAAUGUGGGUGCUGUUGUUGGCCAUCUGCAUAGCAAACAUAUACAAAACAAGAACAAUACAAUAGAGAGAGUAAGACAUCUAAUGAACAUAAAUUCAUUGACGGCGUGGACUUACUCAGAAUAUCACACUCAGACAUAAAAUAUAUUUAAACAUAUAAUUCAUCAUUUAUCAUCAAUAUCAUUACGAAAUUCAUAACUUACCAUUUGUUCCAACCUUACCCAUAUAUCAAAUCAUAUAAUCCAUAUUCUACUCAUAACCAUAUCACACGCAUAAACGUAGGAAUACACAAUGAUUGUAACUCACAUGUGGGGAUUCACUUCCACAAUGAUAAUGUAUGCAUGAUAUGUCAUGAUUAUCCACCUUACACCAAUAUCCAUCCAACAUCCUAAUCGGAAAUGAUCGAGAGUACAGGUCCCGUACCAAGCCGUUUUGUACCACCCGAAAUAACAUAUCCUCGCAAGGAAUUAAAAAUAGAUCGAUCGGUUCCCUCAGGAACAGUCCUACCCGAACCUAGGNNNNNNNNNNNNNNNNNNNNNNNNNNNNNNNNNNNNNNNNNNNNNNNNNNNNNNNNNNNNNNNNNNNNNNNNNNNNNNNNNNNNNNNNNNNNNNNNNNNNAUAUCAUGUAUCCUUACUAGGGUACCCCCCUAGUUCAUGACCUCCAGUCGGAUACUUGCCCAACAAGGCAUAAACACAAACAAUGCUUUCAUACCUUUGUGGAGUCAUGCUUCACAUCUAAGACAUGAUCUCAUUCCACAACAUUUAUAUCACAACACACCCUACCCGGGUUCAUCACAUGGUUCACAACAUCAUUUUCUUCCAAUCGUCCCACACCGUCCCUCGCCCAAGUUGGGACUAGUCGUUCAAGCGACAAUUCGUCCUUAAAUCUCAAAUAGACUGAAGAUUUCCUUGCCUAGGCGAAAGUAUCAUCGCCCAAGCGAGAGGGUUCCAGAAACUCAUUAAAAUUCUAGAUUUUUUUUUCGAAAUGGGCUUUUGCUCGCCCAGGCGACGCCUUAUUCUCCCGAGGCGAUUUAAAAUUUUAUUUAUUGUUUUUUUUUUAAUUUUUUUUCCCCCCAAUCGGGUUUUUGCUCGCCCAGGCGGACUUUUGCUCGCCCAGGCAGACUUUUGCUCGCCCCGGCGGACUUUUGCUCGCCCUAGCGACGCCCUGCUCGCCCGGGUGACGCCUGGUUCGCCAGGCAACAGGGAUUUGGACAAAAUGCUAAUUUUUGCCAUUUUCGACAACCGAUACACAUUUAAACAUUGUUUUUCAAACACCUGCACCCAUAAAAGUUCCCAACAACAUUCAUAUACAAUAUUCAACACAUUUCAUCAACAAUCAUAUAUAUUCAAAAGCCUUCAAACAUAAAAAUCUUNNNNNNNNNNNNNNNNNNNNNNNNNNNNNNNNNNNNNNNNNNNNNNNNNNNNNNNNNNNNNNNNNNNNNNNNNNNNNNNNNNNNNNNNNNNNNNNNNNNNAACAUUAUAACAACUCCAUGAACACAAGUUGUUCAUGGUUUCAACAAAAUAUUUUCAUGAGUUCAAGAACAACACCAUUUUCGGUUUUUGAAGAUAAAAUGAGUUAGAAAGCGUUUUAGAAAUUUUCAACAGUUGAAUAUGUUCUUGACAUACUCAUGAACAACAUACUUAAAUCUCAUCAACAUCCAUGGGUUGAAUGUUGAGAGAUCAAGAAUUGAAGAUGGAAAAAGACAUGAAGAAAUGAGAGAAAAGUGAAGAGAGGAUUUACCUCCUCUUAGAAAGUUUGCAAAUGAAAGAGUGUGAGAGAAGUGUGAAGUCUGGGGGUUUAAGGGGUGAGAAGGAAAUCAGAUUUUCCCCCUAGGCCAUCAUGACAAAUCUCCUAGGGUGGCUAAUGAUGAUUUCCUAUGACAUUUAGGGUGUGUGAUGUGAGGUUUACUUUAUAGAAGUCAACUUUCGCAUCCCAAUGCGAAAUGACCACCUCAUGGAUAUGUGCGAUAACCAUGUCCGAGUAUUAUCGACCCAUACUCGAUCGAGUAUUAUAAAUCACCUGAUCCUAAUAUCCGAUUAGAAUUUCGGAUUUCGGCAUUCUGAGUGAAAAAUAUUUAGAAAAUAGGUAUGAGUGUACUCAAAGUCUAUAUUGACUCGAAAUAAAAUUAUGAAGCCAACGGCACGAUUGGAAUUCGAUUCUGAGUUAGGGAACUCAAAAAAACGCUUUUUGAGCCGUACCGGGUGUAUUUCGGCCCCGACAGUGGUUCAGAACCGACUGUCUCCGAAAAUUACCAAAAUCUACCACAAAAUCGGAAAUAAAAUUUCAAGAAUAACACUCAACUAGUGUUUCGUCUAAUUCCUUACCGAACAUUCCCUGAAAUUCAUUUUCGAAUAUAUAAUUAAUGAAAAUAUUAGUAAAAUCUUAUAAUUCAAAAUCGUAAAAUUCGCGGUGUUACAACCUUUAUUAAUUAUUAUGAAUUAUUUCAUUUCAAAGUAUUAAUUUAUUAAGAAUGUGAGUAAUAGUUUAAAAACAUAUUGCCCUAAAGGAUUUCCAUAUGAAAUGUGACUAAAAAUGAAAGGAAAUACAAAAUAGUAUAUCAAAUAAAUUAAUAAGACAUUAAACCAUGUAGAUUGCACUUUUCAUUUCUUAAUUAUGUAUUUAAUAAGAUUUAACUUCUACAACAAAAAUAUAAUAAAGAAAAUAGUUUUUUUACAACUAAACUAAAAGACAACAUAAUUGUUUAUCAUUGAGAACUGCACACAAGCAAAUUUAACAUAAUAGUUCACAAUAAAAAUAUUAAUAAAUAACAUACAAAGAUCAUCCUAUAGAAAUUAAAGAAUAACGAUCAAAUAAAGUGAUGGUUAUUAUAUUUUGACAAAUAAAGUUCAUUCUAAACUUGUGUCUAUAUUACCAUUACUAUAAACCGAAGCGAUAAUAUUUUGAUAGUAUCCAAAUGUAUAUAUAUUAAAGUGAAGUUACAAAUUAUAUUGUGUUAGGGAGUCAUAGUCCAAUAGAAAUGAGAGAUUUAGUAUGUGUUAUGUUAAAAAUCAUAUAUGUAGACUUGACAUCACGUCUUAACUCAAACACAAGACAUUAGAUUAAGUUUGAUUGCAUUGGGGAUAACAAGUGUGUUAGAAAAGUUAUACAUUAAUAUUAAAUAAAUAUUUUCUAGUAUUAUCCGGCCCGCACGCCACAACCCGCAACCUGCUUAGGGAAGGUUUCGGCUACAAUUUGAGUUCCAUUGUAGAUGAGGUUGGUUUGAUCGAUAAAAAGGUAUGUUGGGUCUAUCCUGGACAAACAAAGAUUGAUUUUCCCAUGUCAGGUAGCUUUGGAAGAUAUAUACUUGGUGGACGGUUGUCUUUUGCUCGUAUUGGCAUGUAUCCCUAUGUCAUUAGUCUAUCAUGUCUGAUUUUGGGAGAUACUAUCACUACUCCAGAAUAGAAAAACUACAACACUUAAAAUUGUCAUUUAACAACGUUUUUUAGACGCUUUCUAUGUUAGCGCAAUAGUACAUAAGGUUAUAUUUAACAUUAUUUUUUGAAGCGCUGUAGAAAGUAGACAUUUAGCAGCGCUCACUGAAGCAAGCGUUGUUAAAUGUCUACUUUCUAAAUAAGACAAUAUAUCUUCCAAACAUUCUAUCCAAUACAUGACAAGCAUGUCCAACUCCACCACGUUUACAACAGAUUUAUUAAAUCACCAACGACUUCAGGUACAUUCAACCUUGUCAGAUUCCAAUAUUAUAAAAUAAAAUAUGAGUAAUGAGAUCUUACGCAAAUUUUGUUCAUUCUUUCUCCUCCAAUGUGCAAAUCCUUACUGAGUGUUCAUGUGUUCCUCAAUGAUUAUUGCAAGCAGAAAAUACAAAUAAAAAAUGGUAUCUCUAAACAAAUUUCAAAAGCUCUAAAAACUAAAAAAUUAGCAACAAUUGAGAAAGAACAUUUACCAUUAUACUCAAACUAUGUUUUCUAAAAUAGUGAACUACAGCAAAAAACCUAGAACACCAUAGUUGCAUAACUUUAUAACAAAUAAAGAUCACCCUAAGAGCAAAAUGUUUCCACCAAAUUGAUCAUUAAUAAACUAAUUAUUUAAAAAUAUAACGAUUCAAAUGCAUCGAAGACUUUUUAUUUAUGGUGUAUAUGCAAGCAUCAAGACUGAAUCAAAAAGAAGUAAAUGAGGUAAAAUAAGAGGAGGUCAAAUAAGAUAGUGAUUUACCUGAGGCUAGAAGAGAAAAACCAAAAACUGAUAACUUGCUUGAAGAGAGAAACUAAAAACAAAAUAGGAAAAAUGUAACUCAUGGAGAAGAAGAAAAGUAAGAGAAAUAAUAAACUGAGUGAUCUGUGUAUUAUUGUGUGAGGUUUUGUUCCUGAAUUUUAAAAGAUUCUCACUCACUAAAUCAAGCGUUUAUCAAUGCUCACUGAAGAUGUGAUGUUAAAUAUAUGAAUGAAUGUAUGAUCUUUAACAACGCUUAUUGAAGAAGUGUUGUUAAAUAUAUGAAGUAUGACCUUUAACAUCACUUUCUUCAAUAAGCAUUGUUAAAGAUAACACGUUCAACAAUACAGCGCUCACUGAAGAAGUGAUGUUAAAUAUAUGAAUGUAUGAUCUUUAACAGUGUUUGCUUCAAUAAGCAUUGUUAAAGAUAACACUUUUAAUUGCCUCACUGAAGAAGUAUUGUUAAAUAUAUGAAGUAUGACCUUUAACAGCGUUUUCUUAAAUAAGCAUUGUUAAAGAUAACAUCUUUAACGUCACUUGCUUCAAUAAGCACUGUUAUUUCUCUUAUGCCUUACAUUUAUCAGCUAUGGCAUAGUGAAUUGUUGUUGAUAGGAACAGUAGGGCAUAGGUAGCAUGCAACAUGUAACAAAGGUCUAGGCUAUUCAAUCAGAGGUGACAGUUUUAUGCAUGUGGCGCAACAUAGGGGUAGUAGGGUGGGCCCCAUGUUGUCUUGUCAUUGAUAGAACACUUAUUUGUGUUGCUCGGUCUUUUUGGUCUCUAGCCUGAGAGGGCUUAUAGACUAGCCUUCUUGUUUGGUUUAUGAGGUUGUCUGUCUACCUUGUUCGAUCAAGACGUUUCUUUUUUUUGUGAGAUGGAACAACAAAACUCAUUCUUGAGGUCCUUAAGAAUCACGGUAUAGGUGAACUCUAUCUUCAAACCUUGCACCAAUUACAAGCUUUUCCUUCUGAUACCCUACUGAACCAGUACAUGAACAUGUUUGAAGAAUGAAGAAUGUUGAAAGAAACUAGAGAAAGAAAAUUUGCAGAGUGAAAUCGUGUGUAGAGACAAGAAGAAAGAGAGAAAGAAAAUGCAUAUAGUGUAUAGAAGAGUAUAUCAGAGAGUGAAUUGUAUAUACUAAAUAAUGUGUGUUGUAUAUUUCUCAAUGAUUCAACUAAGGAGUAAAAUUUCUAUUUAUAGCAAGUAUUACAACUAGAAUUCUAAAAACAGAAAACUCUAAAACUGACUAACUAACUCUCCAAGUUUUGAAUCAUUUCUAACACCCUUCCUUGAUUCAAAACCCAUUACAAACAAGUCACAUUCAACAAGUCUCUCAAUCUCUUGAAUCUGUCAACCUUUAGCGGCUUAGUUAAAAUGUCAGCCACCUAAAAAUCAGUGUUGCAAUACUUUAGUUGAAUCUAAGUUAAUGAAACUUUUUAUCAAUCUCAACCUUUGCUUACUUGGUCUCUAAGGAAAUGAUACUUAGUUUCAAUGUGUUUACUCCUACCAUGGGAUACUAUAUUUUUGGCCAAGUCUAUUGUUGAUUUACUAUCAACCAGCAGUUCCAAGUUCUCUACAUUAAGUAUAUUCAUUUUCACAGCAAAGAUGAUAGCCAAAAUGCUUGGCAAGCAGUUGAGGAUGUUGCAAUAUAUUCUACUUCACAAGUUGAUAGGGCCACAACUGACAGCUUCUUUGAGCUCCAAGUUAUAGGUGUGUCUAUCUAUGUGACAACAAUCACAAGUUCACUAACUCUCUCUAAUUCUCCAUUCAUUCUUCCUCUCUCCAACGGAAGAUUUUAUGUCAAAAACUCUUAUUGCUUUAACACUCAUAGUUGCAUUCUUAAUAUGCUCCUCUCAUGCUAAAGGCUGAUGACGAAAAAUGGAAUUAAAUGAUGAUAAUUCAUUUUUGAAUCUUGGAAUGAUGGAAUCAUAAGCCGAAGCGAUAAAAGCAUAAGUGAAAGAUCUACUUGUAGUACAAAUCAUUUAUUUGUAUUUCUCUUUUCUUCUUUUCAUUUCAUUUUUCCACCAUUCAUCCUUUGAUUUUUUUUCACUCCCCUUUUUNNNNNNNNNNNNNNNNNNNNNNNNNNNNNNNNNNNNNNNNNNNNNNNNNNNNNNNNNNNNNNNNNNNNNNNNNNNNNNNNNNNNNNNNNNNNNNNNNNNNGCUUUAGCUUUCACAUUCAUCUUGCAUGUUUCUUUCAAAAGCUUUCUUGCAUUAUUCUUUUGUUUCUUGAAAAGAGAAAGAUAGUUCUUUCAAGAUUGCAUAUUUUCAGAAACCUCAUGCAUGUGCAUUCACAUUAGACUUGGAAGUCUUGUGUGUUCUUGCUUAGGUUUUUAGGCUUUGGUUUUCAUUGUAAUAUCUGAGUAUUAAGUACUCUUUCAUAACUCAAAGCAUUAUCAUUAAAGGAUUGGGAAAAUCCUAGCCGCGGUUAGGUAAGGUGUUCUUCACAUAAAGACUUGGAGGUCUUGGGAUAAAGAGCGAUACCUUGGCUGGGGCCGAAUCGCAUAACAAAGGUUUUCUUUGGAGGUGGUUUUGGGAAAGGUCAAACCAAGGGUAACGUAGUUCUUUGGGUUCCAAGAAGGGAGCAUUCAAGUUUUGUAUUUGGAAGCGUGUAUGUAACGUACAUUGUGUUUCAUAGUGAAGAAAGAAAAUCUCCCAAAUCAGAGGGGAGGACUCGAUGUAGUUUUGCAGUGGACAGCAAAACGAACCAGGAUAAAAUCCCCGUGCAAUCUUUUCUAUCCUUUUCUCUUUUAUAUUUCAAGAAGUUUUAAUGCGUGUUUGGAGCUAAUAUUUUGCAUACUUGUUCCUUGCUAUGUUCUUGUUAAUCUUGCACAAAAGUAUUUGUUGUAUAUCUGUUUGUGUGUUUGUUAAUAACCGUGCAAGUUGCUUUUUUGAUCAUUCUGUUUUUGUUACUGGUUAAUCGAUUAAGACUAGUUGUUAAUCGAUUAACUGGGCAUUUUUCAGCAAGUGUGUAAAAACCAGAAAAGUGGACAUUGAGUUCCGCCGCACCUAUUCAACCCCUCCUUCUAUGCGUAAUCCGGCACUGAUACCUAACAAGUGGUAUCAGAGCUAGUACGUGUGCUAGCUCAACCGCAUCUGCGUGAUCCGAGAGGGACUAUACAUGGGCUCUAAUAAUCCAUUUGGCGGUGAUGGCGCAUCCAUUAAUCGCCCUCCCAUAUUCAGUGGCGAGGGUUAUGCCUAUUGGAAGGUUCGCAUGAGAAUCUAUAUCGAGGCAAUUAACACGGACAUUUGGGAUUCCAUUGUCAAUGGUCCAUACAUUCCACUUCAUAUGGUGGAUGGUGAGUUUAAAGAAAAGCCUAAAGGCUUACGGACGGAUAUUGAGAAAAGAAAGGUCCAACAUGACCUUAAGGNNNNNNNNNNNNNNNNNNNNNNNNNNNNNNNNNNNNNNNNNNNNNNNNNNNNNNNNNNNNNNNNNNNNNNNNNNNNNNNNNNNNNNNNNNNNNNNNNNNNCGUUGGUAACCAAUCUGGAAUUGGAUAUAAACCUGAACCUAAGAAAAGACCAUAUAGAAAUCCAGUAGUUGAUAUGCAUAAGAAGUCAAAUAAUAACAUGCCUACUUGUUUCUAUUGUGGUACACAUGGUCACACAUGCACUACAUGCUUUAUUAGAAAAUUUGGUGUGCCAAGUGGCAAAUAUGUUUCGAUAAAGAAAGGGAAAAAUCCCUUAGUUACUAACAAGAAGGGACCCAAAAUAACUUGGGUACCCGAAAGAGACAAGUAAAUUGUGUUUGCAGAUGUGCCAAAGGACAUUUGAGCGUCAAGGGAAAACUCAACAAAAGAUGUUCUAGGCACAAGGUUGGUGAGUAGAUCAAGGUCACUAAAUAGAAAAGUCAUUGAGAAAGGUUGUAAAAGAGCUUCUGCAUUAUGCUACCUACCAAGAGUACUUCUCUAAAUAAUAAAGGGGGAGAAGAUAAAGGGAAGAACAUUGAAAGGGGGAGCAGCGCACUUUGAAUGUCAAAUAUACAACGUUGAUCAUAUCAUCAAACUUUUCAUCAAACAAGUGGCAAUCUUGACCUAUCACCAAAGGGUAAGUAAGGUAAUUAACAAGGUUACAAAAUUAUUUCUUUGUAAGCUCAAAACUGUUCUUAAAACUGUCAACUUUCUGUCAUUAAUCGAUUAAGUCCUCAGUUUAAUCGAUUAAAUGAGUUCCAGUAGCUAAAGCUUUCUGAAAUAAAUCAUCUUAAUUGAUUAAAUGUUGUGAUAAUCGACUAGGCUCAAAUUUUUUGAAAUUUAAUUCUAGUUGUUUUGUGGCUUACGUCUAUAUUUUUUUGUCAAGUACAUCUCAUGGUUAUGAUUGUACCAUCUUUUAAUAUUUUGUAACUAUGUUGAACCUUGCUAAUUAUGUUAAAUAGAAUUUGUUUUUGCGUGAAUAUUGAACAUGUCUCAAUUGUGUAUUAUAAUUGAAUGAUUAAAAUAUGCUUUAAAAUGAAAAUUGCCUAACAAAGUGCUAACAAGUGGUAUCAUCUAACAAAUGGUACUAACAAGUGGUAUAUAUAUAUAUAUGUUUUAAUCAUUCCAUGACUAAACUGUUUACGUAAUGGAUAUGUCAUGCCAAAUUUGUCUAUAGAGUCAAAAAUCAAUGCAUUUGUUUAAGCUUCUCAAACUGGUUAUUACCUAUGCUAAUAAUUACAGUUUUUUUUUGUUAAUAAAUUGCUAUAUCUCCUCCUGACUUUUGACUAGAAUUGAAUAUUCGUAUCUUUUUGAUAAUGUCAAAAGGGGGAGAAAGGUUGCUUGUUGUAUUUGAUGUUAUUUGCAGGUGGAGAAAGGUUGCUUACCUAAGGGGGAGCAAAGUGCUUUCAACUUUGAUGUCACGACCAUUAUGCAAAUGUACAACAUCAUCAAGCUAACUCGUCAAAUGUAACGUAUCAUUUGAUGUAGUGUUUGUCAUCAUCAAAAAGGGGGAGAUUGAGAGUGCAAAGCGUCAAGGAUUUCCUUAGCAACGUUUGCCUAUGUUUUGAUGAAGACAAGGAAUUCGAUGAAGACAAGGAAUUCAUUAAAGCUUGAAGAUGGCUUAACAAUCAACAUAUCGAAGGCUCAAGCGGUGUCUUAUUAGACUUAUGCUAUUAUUCUUUAUUAUCUUUUUAGAAGUCUAAGAUGCUUGCCAUAGAUAUUGAGUCUAGGUUAGGUAAACCUAGGUGUGAGUCUCACAAGACUUAAUAAAGUAAUUAAUCAACUAAAAUGAGACAUCAUCUAGAAAUAUAUGAUAAUUAGGUUCAUGCAUUUAUAUACAUUGAUUUUAUGCAUUAAAGGUAUUAUAUUUUGGAAAUCAUGUAUUGCAUGAGCAUAUAACAUAUAAGUAGUUUAUCAUUUAAUCAUGUAUUAAAAAUACAUUGGUUAGUUGAUUAACCUCAUGGCUUAAUCAAUUAACGUGUAUUUUUUUAUGUUGUUUCAACAGCAUAACUGAAAAACCGUUUUCAAGAGCCAAAAUCUGUUUUCUAUAAAUACUGGCUUAAUUGCAUAAACGGCAAACUAAGAAGAAGAGGAAAAAGAAGAGUGAAAAACACAAGAGAAUAGAUAUAGAUCAUCAUUGUUAGAAUGUAUUAGAAAGUGUUGAAUUAGGAGAAAGAUUAGAUCAUGCUAAGGCUUUAGCUUUCACAUUCAUCUUGCAUGUUUCUUUCAAAAGCUUUCUUGCAUUAUUCUUUUGUUUCUUGAAAAGAAAAGAAAUAGUUUUUAAAGAUUGCAUAUUUUCAAAAACCUCAUGCCUGUGCAUUCACAUUAGACUUGGAAGUCUUGUGAGUUUUUGUUUUGGUUUUUAGGCUUUGGUUUUCAUUGUAAUAUUCGAGUAUUAAGUACUCUUUCAUAACUCAAAGCAUUGUUAUUAAAGGAUUGGGAAAAUCCUAGCUACAGUUAGGUAAGGUGUUCUUCACACAAAAACUUGGAGAUCUUGGGAUAAAGAGCGAUACCUUGGCUGGAGCCGAAUCGCAUAAGAAAGGUUUUUUUGGGAGGCGGUUUUGGGAAAGGUCAAACCAAGGGUAACAUAGUUCGUAGGGUUCCAAGAAGGGAGCAUUCAAGUUUUGUAUUUGGAAGCGUGUAUGUAACGUACAUUGUGUUUCAUAGUGAAGAAGGAAAAUCUCCCAAAUCAGAGGGGAGGACUAGAUGUAGUUUUGCAUUAGACAACAAAACGAACCAGGAUAAAAUCCCUGCGCAAUCUUUUCUAACCUUUUCUCUAUUAUAUUUCAAGAUGUUUUAAUGCGAGUUUGGAGCUAAUAUUUUCCAUGCUUGUUCCUUGCUAUGUUCUUGUUAGCUUGUUAAUCUUGCACAAAAGUAUCUGCUGUAUAUCUGUUUGUGUGUUUGUUAAUAACCGUGCAAGUUGUUGUUUUGAUCAUUCUGUUUCUAUUACUGGUUAAUCGAUUAAGACUAGUUGUUAAUUGAUUAACUGGGCAUUUUUCAGCAAGUGUAUAAAACCCAGAAAAGUGGAAAUUGAGUUCCGCCACACCUAUUCAACCUCCCCUUCUAGGUGUAUUCCGUCACUAAUUAUGUAAGAAACUCUUAUUGCUUUAGCACUGAUAGUUGCAUUCUUAAUAUGCUCUUCUCAUGCUAAAGAUUCAGAUGUUCCUUUCUUGUCACCAUUGAUAUCUAUGCUCCUCUCAUGCUAAAGGCUGAUGAAGAAAAAUGGAAUUGGAUGAUGAUAAUUCAUUGUUGAAUCUUGGAAUGAUGGAAUCAUAAGCCGAAACGAUAAAAGCAUAAGCGAAAGAUCUACUUGUAGUACAAAUCAUUUAUUUGUAUUUCUCUUUUCUUCUUUUCAUUUCAUUUUGCCACCAUUCAUCCUUUGAUUUUUUUUCACUCCCCUUUUUGUGGAGUAUUUCUUUUCUUGUUUUUCAUGGGAUGAAUGGUGUACUACAAUACUUAUUUCCCACUUUUUUCAUAGAUACAUUUUCCUCUCCCCAACUUAGAAUUUAACUCAAUGUAACACUUAACUCUCUUAUCCCACUAGAAGUAGACUAGAUAGAUUUUUAAUCUAGCAUAAGGUUUCAAUCAAUGAACAUUAAUGGCUUAAAGGGGCUUAUCAAGGGAUAUUCAUAAAAUCUAGUUAGUGUUUAGUCAAGUGGGUUUAUAGAAACAAUUGAUUUGAUCCUAUCCAUGUAUCACAAUCACUUAGUAAAAUAUGAUUCAAACAAAUUCAACUAUGCUAAUAUAAUACAUGUUCAUAUAGAUAGUGUAUAUUUUUCAUAAUCACUCAACUUUCAUUCUCAUGCCUUCUUAGUAACAAACAAUAUCAAGCACAGUUAUACACAUUUAACUAUUCACAGCAAACUCUUCAAUAAUGGUCCAGAAGCUUCACAUUCAAAUUCAUUAAUCAUUUUCAUGUUUAGUUAUGUUAGAAGAUAGACCAAUAAAGCAAACAUAUUAUUCAAAUCUAAAAAGAUAAGACUAAAAACAAUUUUUAUUAAUAGAGUACCAAAGGUAUAGAAUUACAAGAAUUUACAAGACUAAUAUUAAAAAAAACAUGGUUGUGAAAAAAAAUUAAGUGGUUUAAAACAACUUUAUAAGGCAAUCACAUGGAUUUGAAACCAUGUUAGAAUAUAUCAUUGCAGACUUGCUAUUUCUACCAUUAAUCUAAAUCAGAGACUUCCUAUAAAUGUAUCAACAUUAAAUAUAUUUUGUAUGAAAUUAUUAUCGCUUGUGGUAGUCACCUCAAAUACAAAGAAUAUUUUAUUCAUGGACAAUACUUGUUUUAUUUAGCAAAAUAAAAUAUAACACAAAUGUGCAAAAUAUCUUUCUAGAACUAAGUAAAUAUUCAAAACUCAAAAUUUGUCACUAGAAAAUAUUAAAUAAGACGUGCAUUUAAUAUAAAUAUUAUAUUCAAUCCCGCACGUUCCCAUAUAAAUUUUCAGUUAUUUAAUUUCAUGACGAUGUCUGGACUCCUAAUGGCAUUCAUUAAAGGGACUUAAAAUAAAUACACAAAUAUAUUUAUAAGGGCACAAUUCCUCUACUAGUCACAUGAAUCAAUUUAUGAUAUAAUUGUUUAUUGGCCAAAUAUUUUGUAGUAGAAUCUAAAGGACAUGUAUGUAAACAGAUAAUAUCAAUUGACCAUAAACAACAAAAUUAAAAAUUUAGAAAUCUACACAAAAUAUUUUUGAAAGUCAAAAUCAAUUUAUGCACUCAUUCAUAGUUAUGUAUUUCACCCAGCCUUUAAAAAAACAAAUUUACAAAUUGUUUGUGUAAAAAAUUAGAUUUCCAUAUAUGAUUCACGGCAUUAAAUGUAAGUAAUUUUUAUUAGGUCCUUGAUAAUUAUUUAUUGUUUUUUGUUUACUCAUAAUAAUAUUUAACAUUGAGUCAAAAAUUCAAAUAAAAAGUUUAACAUUAUUGNUUUUAGAUGAGUUAGAUGACAAAUUUUAAAGAUAAAAAACAAAUUUUAAUUUGUUCAAACUAUAAAGUAUUAAUUAAUAUAAAUUCAUCUUUUGUUUCUAUUAUAGAUUGUAUCUUUUUUGUUUAAUAAGAUAUUACAUCAUCUUGUAGAUAAGAAACUAAUAUAGUUCAAAGUGGGUCAAAAUAUCAAUACUAAUAUCGUUAAGAAUGAGUAAAAAUAUUAACAUUGGAGAAUUUUUUUUCCCUUCCCAAAUAUUAUGUACUUUCAUGUUUUUAUUUUACACAAAAAUAUCAAUACUGCAGAACAUGUGAAUUCUUCCUUUUAUUAAUUAUUAAAUUGCAUAUAUAUUAUUUAAUUAAUUGUAGUAAUCGUUAUAUUAUGCUAUCAUAUUUGAGAGGUAGAAUUAAAAUUAGGUCUGCCCUUAAGAAUAUGAGAUCCAUUGAGAAUGUGCCUAAUAAUUAAAAAAAUAUAGUACGCUCAUGUCUAACAACAGUAACAAUAACAAAUAAGUAAGAAAAAGAAAAUAUAUUAUAUGUUCUCAUUUUAUGACAAUUUUCAUAGGUGAAUUUUCAUUGUUUAAAUAUAUUAUAUGUUGUCAUUUUAUGUACUUAAUUUUUGAACAUGAUUUGCUUUAAUAUCUUAUUUUCGUUUAAGCUUUGACAUAUAAAUUUCACAUAUUUUUUUUAUAAUAAAGGAAGUCUCCCACUUUUUCUUUGUGGAUGGCCUAUAAAAUAUCAAGACUAGCCCUAAGUAUUAAACACUAUUUGAUAGUGCAUUAUAUAUAUAUAUCGAAAGAUAAAUAGAUAUUCUGUGAGAUCUUACAUAAUUAUAUCAACUUCUUAUUAUGAUUAAUUUUUGAAUAUUUAAAGCAAGACAUUUAUCUUAGAAUAAUUGAGAUAGGAAAUUAAAUUUCCAUGUGAUGAAAAUGUAAGCUAUUGGUUGAAUUUAGUGUACUGCCUAUACUUUGCACAAGAAUAUAAAGGAUGGAUAAUUAAAUAAAAUUAAUUGACAAUAAAUAAAACUAUGCAUGUACAAAACUCAAAAAAAUAUUUUUGAACGUCAAAAUCAUUUCAUAUACUCACCAGCAAUACACAAUUUACAAAUUCCAUGUCUGAAAAAGUUGAACUACCAUAUAUGAUACUACAACAUUAAAUGUAAGUAUUUUUAUUAUGGUCUUUGACAUUAUUUUUUCUUUUUUGUUUACUUAUAAUAAUAUUUUUGUAUUAUGUCCAAAAUUCAUAGAAGAAGUUUUAUAUUAAUGAAAGUUUAAUCUACCAAAAAAAAUGUAAUAAUAUCUUUUGGAAUAAGUAAUUAUCCCUUCAAACUAGAGUUGUUUAUAAGUAUUCAUAUGUCUACACCUAUGCAUUUGUGGCAAAUGUGUCAUACAUGAUGCAUAAAUAACGGGGACCAAUUGUUUUACCUAAACAGAUAAUCAUUCUUUUUACACAAAAAAUCUCACUACUAAAGAACAUGGGUACUAUUACCUUUAUUAAUUAUUGCCUUCCGAAGUAUGAAUUUAUUAAGAAUGUGAUUAAUAGUUUAAAAAAAUAUUGGGCUAAAUAAUUUCCAUAUGAAAUGUGACUAAAAAUGAAAGGUCAUACAAAAUAUUAGAUUUAUUAAGAAUGUAACUAAAAAAUAAACAUAAAAUAUUAUACUCAAGUUUGCAACAAAUAACAAUAUUAAAUGAGCAAGAAAAAAAUGUAUUACAUUUUCAAAUGAUUUUCAUUAGACUUUUUUAGUUGAAAUAUUAUUGCAAAUUAUUUUACAUAAUUAAAUUCUUUUUAUGAUGAAUGAAUAGUUGUUUUUGUUGUCAUCGUCACUUAUUUUGAACUCUCAUUUUCCUUUAAAUUCCGACAUUUAAAUUUAACAUAUUUUCUUAUGAUAAAUAAUGUCUAUUAUUUUACUAUGUGAAUGGCCUAUAAAAUGUCACGACGGACCCUAAAUAUUAAACAUAAGAAUUUCAUAUUGUACCAUGCACAGGGAUCAAUUGAAAUAUUACAUCAAUAUGUUAACUUCAUGUAAUAAUUAGUCUUUGACUAUUCAAAGCAAUGCAUUUAUUCUAGAAUACAUGAGAUGUAAUUUUUCUAAUAUUAAAAGAUAAAAAUAUGUAUAGACUAAUAGUGUAUGCGUUUUAUAUAUUGUCACUGUUAUUUCGUCAUUCACUUUCAUAUUUAAUCAUCAUUGACUCUUCAAAGAAUGUAACUCAAAUGAAUUAUGGAUGAUGUAGUGAUUUGUGUAAAUCUUUACACUAACAGUACAUAGAUAUUAUACUCAUAUUGAAAAUAUAAGCUAUUGAAGGACCUAAUUCAUCUUUUGGAAGUUGUAAUACUCUCAUACUAUAUAAAGAGGGGCUCACAAUGAUUUGAGACAUCCAUUCAAAAGUUCUUAUUUGAUCAAGUUUCAAGUGUGGACAAUUACUUAAGUAUGAGGAUGUCAAUUAUUAAACUGGCUUUCGUAUUGGUUUUCAUCUUUGCAACAGGUUAGAAAUUUUGUUUUACGCGACCCUAAUCGUGUCUCUUGUUCAAAUGUAUGGAUCCAAUUCUAUAUCCUAAAUUAUUUUCACUAUACUCUAAUUAUUCAUCCAAAUUUAAUNNNNNNNNNNNNNNNNNNNNNNNNNNNNNNNNNNNNNNNNNNNNNNNNNNNNNNNNNNNNNNNNNNNNNNNNNNNNNNNNNNNNNNNNNNNNNNNNNNNNAUUUGAUAAACUUCGGAUCCAAGCAUCACAAGAAUGAGUAUCAAAAGUGUGUGUUGGAAUAAUAAAAUGUUGAUAAGGAUUGAUUAUAUCUUAUUAUCAUGUAAUAUCAAAGCUUAUAAAGUCAUGUUAAAUAAAACUUAAGAUUUAAACAUUUUCCAUAAUCAUGAUCUUAUAUACAUAAGAUUACAUAUUAUCAUAGUUUAGAUGAUAUGUAAUGGUACGCAGUCUAAUUCAAAUUGAGACAGAGGC
RNAcentral lists this long non-coding RNA (31331 nucleotides) under Lupinus angustifolius (narrow-leaved blue lupine). RNAcentral describes it as "long non-coding RNA (LANG_LNC000809)". The record is from RNAcentral. Lineage: Eukaryota; Viridiplantae; Streptophyta; Magnoliopsida; Fabales; Fabaceae.